Rhodnius prolixus is the source of this 120-nucleotide non-coding RNA. NCBI's taxonomy places the organism in Eukaryota, Metazoa, Arthropoda, Insecta, Hemiptera, Reduviidae. The record is from Rfam.
AUCGCUUCUCGGCCUUUUGGCUAAGAUCAAAGUGUAGUAUCUGUAGUUAAAUGUAUAUGUAUUAAUAAAUCUGCAUUUACUACACUAAUUUGCGUUAUUUGUAAUAGAUCCCUACUCUCC